AACUUCUGCACGUAGCAUAUGAACCUAUGGAAAUUGAAGAAAAAUUAGUAGAAUGCAAAAAUCCCAAGGAAGCAAUGGGUGAUGCAACAGAUGACAUGAGUGUCCUACUUAAUUGGGAAAUGAACCUAUUUCAACUUAGGAAGCAGACCCUUAUGCAGAUCUCUUUCGAAUGCUGCAGCUGAACAUGCAUGUACUAUUACUCCAGACAGUUUAGAACACAGAUGGAUUCCUAUGUCCAUAAAACUAAGAAUAAAAGAAAU
Mobula hypostoma (lesser devil ray) is the source of this 260-nucleotide long non-coding RNA. RefSeq lists it as uncharacterized. Lineage: Eukaryota; Metazoa; Chordata; Chondrichthyes; Myliobatiformes; Myliobatidae. The transcript is spliced from 3 exons. The record is from RefSeq and is a predicted model, not a curated record.